UGGGUGACAGAGGAUAGUACUAGACCAGGAAACAAUCAUGAACAUAAACACACUAUUACAGAAGGACAUAGUGGGGAUAGAAUCUGAAGAAUAGGACUGGGAACGAGUAGAGGAGAAUACCAGCAUACUUCAGCCACAGAGCAACAAGGGCUUUGUCUUCCCAGUACAUUUCUUCAGUGGAGCAAGACCUCACAGACCUCUACAUUAAUGGGAAAAUGCAAUGGACAGCCUUCAAUCAUACCCUUGGAAAGUCUCACCUGUCUGGAGGCUGCAUGGAGAGAAACACAAAUGGAUAGAGUAUUGUGCAACUGUUGCUGGAAUAAAAACAAGAAAGACAGAAUCCUAAGUCAAAGUUGAGCCAUG
This 363-nucleotide long non-coding RNA is filed under the name Parus major (Great Tit). RNAcentral's name for it is "lncRNA (ENSPMJG00000011846.1)". Lineage: Eukaryota; Metazoa; Chordata; Aves; Passeriformes; Paridae. The record is from RNAcentral.